Molecule: ribosomal RNA, 508 nt
Filed under: uncultured bacterium
Lineage: Bacteria
Description: bacterial SSU rRNA
Rfam family: Bacterial small subunit ribosomal RNA
Source: RNAcentral
UGGCUCAGGAUGAACGCUAGCUACAGGCUUAACACAUGCAAGUCGAGGGGCAGCAUUGGGAUAGCUGCUAUCCAGAUGGCGACCGGCGCACGGGUGAGUAACGCGUAUCCAACCUUCCCUAUAGUAGAGAAUAGCCCGGCGAAAGUCGGAUUAAUGCUCUAUGUUGUGUUUUGAGGACAUCUGACGAACACCAAAGGUUCACCGCUAUAGGAUGGGGAUGCGUCUGAUUAGCUUGUUGGCGGGGUAACGGCCCACCAAGGCGACGAUCAGUAGGGGUUCUGAGAGGAAGGUCCCCCACAUUGGUACUGAGACACGGACCAAACUCCUACGGGAGGCAGCAGUGAGGAAUAUUGGUCAAUGGGCGAGAGCCUGAACCAGCCAAGUAGCGUGCAGGAAUGACUGCCCUAUGGGUUGUAAACUGCUUUUAUCAGGGAAUAAAGUGCGGCACGUGUGCCGUUUUGUAUGUACCUGAUGAAUAAGGACCGGCUAAUUCCGUGCCAGCAGCCGC